This is a long non-coding RNA of Apus apus (common swift), 2157 nucleotides long. RefSeq lists it as uncharacterized. The record is from RefSeq and is a predicted model, not a curated record. The transcript is spliced from 3 exons. NCBI's taxonomy places the organism in Eukaryota, Metazoa, Chordata, Aves, Apodiformes, Apodidae.
UGGAAAUUGAUACAGGGAGUAACUUUUCUUGAUUUUUACUGCCUGCAAGACUGAGGGAGAGAGAGAGACCAUGUCCCUAAUUCUGCAAGAGUUCUUUACUUAACGUGCUACAUGUGAUCAGCUGUGAAAUAAGCAAAUUAAGACAACAUUUGUGAAUUAUUAUUCUGAUUUUGGAGUGCAGAGGAGAAUUGCAAAGGCCAGGGAAGACUUGGAGGUUCCUGCCUGUGGCGUGUGAGAUGUUGUGCUUGAGUUCAAGGACAGCCCUAUCCGCCAAGGAUCACUCCCCCAAGGCCUAAAGGAGAAGAGGAUCCUCCCUUCUCCCAUGAACUGGAUCGGAUUGGGAAUCCAGAAGGGCUAGCCACUCUUCUGGCAUCUGAGAGGGAGCAGGAGAAGCUGAAUUAAAAGGUCCAAUGCUCAGGAUGAAACCGGUUUCAUUUCUUCUGUGUUUUUACAGUGGAGUUUUCCUAUUUCAGACUUUUUGGGACUGUAUUCCUUGUUCAAGUGAACAUUAAAAUUCCUUUUACUGAAAGCAGAUGUCAGUGCAAAUAGCUGUCCUCAGCUGUAUGAUUGAUUUCCUCCCCCCUGUCCAAAGCAAAUCCUUGUAGCAGUAACAGAAGCGCAAGGGACCUAAACAGGUUUGCACUCAGCUAGGAAAGCCUGUCACAUUGGUCACAGGUCCACAACAGUGGGAUUCUAGUGUCCAAUGUCUGUUAAAAAAUGGCUAUGUAAUAGAAGUGAUAGAAUUAUGGAAGCUGUAAUUAUGCUCUGAAGAGAAGGACAACACAGCUGUGCCCACACUAAAUGACUGCCCAAAUUGUAGACUGGAGUUCUGGAUAGAAGAAAUUAAUGGGGAAGGAAGAAAGGAAAGAUGAAGUUCUAUUUAGGAAGUCUGUCUUAUAGUCCAGAGGUCUGUCCCGGUCUGGAUGGCACUAAACUCCUAUAGUGAAGCUAAAAUAUGUAGAGUGUGAAAAGAAAACAGCUGGCAUAAGUGGUGUCAUAAGGCAAGGGACACUAGCAGGCAGAAAAGGCAGCCAGCCAGGAUGGCUGAUGGGUAGAACGACUUCAGGCUCUGCUGUGGCUUUGUGAAGCAGCCCUUCCAGCAACCUGAGGUGGAGUGUGCAGCCAGCCACAAAACCUAAUGCCUAUGAGUCGCUGCAAGGGGUGUGGGUUACGGCUACAGGAAGAGAAGAGCCAGUUGCCAAAAGAAAGAUGACUCCAGGUUAUUGUUUUAAUUGCUUUUAGAGAGGAUCUUGCUUGCUGGGGAUGGUUUGUAUACAUUACUUUAUUUUCUGUGCCUCUUUCCUUUUAACCUCAGCUACAGUGUCAUUUAUUACAAUUAUAGUUUGCAAAUGAGAAAGUCUAAAUCAGUGAGUAUCCUGACUGGCUUGAUGGCAUUCCACAUUGCUGGUUAGGAGGAAAUUUUUUACUAGAAACAGCAUCCAUAGAAACUGCCUAUGGCUAACAAACAUAGUUUUCACAUUUGAAGUUUACCGAGACUUGUAUUUUUUUGAAGGUCAUUGGUUUAUUAGAUUUAAAAAAUCUGUUCCUCACAGACAGAGCAGAGCUGUUGCACACUUAUGCCAUUUCUAAUCUCACAGUUAUUAUUUCAAAUAAUCACUUUACAUUACUGUAUAGUGGUUGAAGAGGUGACUAAACUGCAGUUCUGGAACAGCUUUAUGUUGCCUGGUGAGUCUUUCAAUUCAUAGUCUCUCAUAAUUUUGUAAUCAUGUUAUCAUGAUAUUGUAACUUUUCUACAGCACAGAUUCUGUAUUUUAGUGGCUUCCAGGCUUGUUUAUACAUUAUUUUCAUCUACAUUCAAGGUUAUCUUCCAAAGUACAACAUUAAAGGCAUUCUCUGAAUUAGAGCUGAGAAGGUUGCAAUGCACGACUCCUACCAGUGUUAUUUGCUAGGAGAAGUUCUUGUCAGAAAAUACUGCUUUGGCAAAAGAAGAUUUUGUAUGGAGGAGUAUCGGUAAAUGCUUAUGUUGUAAAUUUGUGCUCUCAGUUUUAUGUUCCAGUUUUUCUUUGGAUUUCCCAGCAUCUGAACAAAGCAAUUAUGCCUGUUUUCAUGGGUAUAAAAGCCUCCAAGUUGUGUUUGCUUUUCCCCCACCCCCAUAUAGUUGGAAAUAAAAUAAUAAAAAUGUUUUUGGCAAUGUGA